RNAcentral lists this ribosomal RNA (880 nucleotides) under Chlamydodon salinus. RNAcentral describes it as "SSU rRNA". It matches the Rfam family "Bacterial small subunit ribosomal RNA", at positions 524 to 1485 of the family's 1533-position model. The record is from RNAcentral. Lineage: Eukaryota; Ciliophora; Phyllopharyngea; Chlamydodontida; Chlamydodontidae.
UACAUGAGUGGUAAGCGUUAUUCCCUAUGGUUGGGUGUAAAAUAUCCUAAGGAGUGGGCAUUCUUAUUUCUAACCCCACAUAUUAAUUGUUACUAAAAUCUAUAUCUUAGGUGUUUAUAGGGGUAAAAUCCCACGAGAAAUACUGGAGAUCUAAAAGUGGAGACAUAUAGAUAGGGUAAUGAAAUAACUUAAGGAUGAAAGUAUAGGUUGUGGCGAGGAUUAGAGACCCUCUUAAUCUAUACUGUAAAUUAUGGUUGCUAUUAGACAAAACAAGCUAACGUAAGAGCAAUCUACCUGGGGCCUAAAACCGCAAGGUUAAAACUUAAAGAAAUUGGCGGGACUCUUUCAAUGGUGGAGCAUGUGAUUUAAUGCGGUAAUCCUCGCAAAACAUUACUAGAGUGUAGGUAACAUCUGAAUUUUUAUGGUAAAUCUUAGUAGUUUCCUGCCGGUAUUGCAUGGCUGUCGUCAGUUCGUGCUGUAAAGUGUUGUGUUUAGUCACCAAAACGAACGCAAUCCUACUGCUUUAAAUUUAAAGUUAGCGAUCUAAGGCUGAAGUCAAGUCUUUAUGGUCUGCUUACUCUAGGCUACACACGUGCUACAUUGAUGGAAACAAUGGGUAACAAUAGUUAAUACUAGCGUGAAUCUCUAAAAACCAUCAAUACCGAUUAUUGUUUAUAGUCAACAAUAUGAAGUUGAAAUCAUUAGUAAUCAUAGUUUAGGAUGAUAUGGUGAAUAUAAAAAAAAGAGUUUGCACACACCGCCCAUCACGCUCAGAGAGUCAUGUUUAUUUAAAGAAGUCCAGCUAAAUAUCUCUUCAACCAGUAAAUAAGAGGAUUUCGCAAGGGGCUUUAUAGAAUUAAAUGUGGUAAUUGGAGUGAAG